Molecule: long non-coding RNA, 422 nt
Filed under: Homo sapiens (human)
Lineage: Eukaryota; Metazoa; Chordata; Mammalia; Primates; Hominidae
Description: LHRI_LNC215.1
Source: RNAcentral
UGAGAACCACUUAAGCAUUGAAUGCGGAGAAAGCAGUGCUACCUCAGUUUUGCUGGAAGUAGACUUCUUUGAUAGUUUUCUUUCUUUGAUGAAGUUUCUGUAUUUUCAUGUUGUAAGUGGAAAUACUUUUUUUUGUUUGUUUGUUUCAUUUGCCUUGGAGCCAAAGUUUCUGUUCCUGGUGGUCGGGAAACUGCCUGCCGGCCAACUGACUUGAAGGAAAACUGUGGUAUGGAGCUCUGCUUGAAUUUUUUUUUUUUUAAUAUUUUUAUUUUUUUCUUUGAAUAUCAUCAGCUUACUUGUCUGGCAAGGGCAGAAGCCUGGGGUUGGCCUGAACUCUGCCAAACAAAUAUCAAAGUGUAUUUAAUAGUUAAAUUUGUGCCCUUUCCCUUCUUGCUGCACCCAUGUUGUCACUUAACCCCCAG